This is a long non-coding RNA of Myiozetetes cayanensis, 1381 nucleotides long. RefSeq lists it as uncharacterized. The transcript has 3 exons. The record is from RefSeq and is a predicted model, not a curated record. Lineage: Eukaryota; Metazoa; Chordata; Aves; Passeriformes; Tyrannidae.
CAGCGGGCCAGGCCGCAGGGGAGGGGACAAAGAGAAGGGGCGGGGCCUGAGGGAGGCGAGGCCCGAGAAGAGAGACAAAGCCCCGGAGGAGCCGCCAGCGAAGCUCCUGGACGAUCUUUUCCGGAAAACCAAGGCGGCCCCGUGCAUUUAUUGGCUGCCCCUCACCGACACCCAGUUCGUGCAGAAGCAGGAAGAGGAAAUUUGAGUCGAAAUUUUGGGGGGAAAAUGUGGAAUUUUGGGUCAAAUUUGGUAAAAAAUUUAGAACUUAAUUGAAAUUUUUGGGGUGAAAUUCCCUUAAAUUUUACUAAAAAAUUCAAAUUUUGGGAUGAAAUAGCUUUAAAUUUUGCUAAAAAAUUCAAAUUUUGGGGUGAAAUUCUGUCAAAUUUUGCUAAAAAUCUUCAAAUUUUGGGGUGAAAUUCUCCUAAGUUUUACUAAAAAAUUCAAAUUUUGGGGUGAAAUUGCUUUAAAUUUUGCUAAAAAAUUCAAUUUUCGGGGUAGAAUUCCCUUACAUUUUUACUAGAAAAUUCAAAUUUUGGGGAGUAAAAAGUGGGAAUUUCGGGAUGAGCUCCGAUGGCCAAUGGGCGGCCAAUGUGGGUGUGUCCUGAGGUACCUAAUUAGCAUCUAAUUAGCAUAAAUUUGCAUACAUAGUUCGUGCAGAAGCAGGAAGAGGAAAUUUGGGUCAAAAUCUGGGAAUUUGGAUCAAAUCGAGGGAAUUUGGGGGAAAAGUGUGGAAAUUCGGUGGGGGGGGAAUUUAGAAAUUUAGGGAGAAAAAGAGGAAAUUUGGUUCAAAUUCAGUGGAAUUUUUUGAGAAAAAAAAUCAAAUUUUGAGUGAAUUUGGGGCAAAAAUUGCAUUAAAUUUCAUUCCAAAAAUUUCAAAUUUUGGGGAGAAAAAUACAGGCCCAAUUGGAGUGCGAUUAGCACCUCAUUUGCAUAAAUUUGCAUGCCCAAAAAUUUUUUGAAAAAUUAGAGUAAAAUUUCUGGAGAACAUUGGGAUUUGGGAUAAAACUGUGGAAAUGUGGGGGAAAAAGAGAAUUUUGGGUCAAAUUUGGGGGGAAAAAAGGAGAUUUUGGGUCAAAUUUGAGGCCGAUUUAUUUGAAAUUUUGGUAAAAAAAAUUUGAAAUUUUGGGGUAAAAAGCCGAAAUUUGGGAUGAGCUCCGAGGACCAAUGAGGGGCAGGCGUGGGCGUGUCCUGAGGUACCUAAUUAGCAUCUAAUUAGCAUACAUUUGCAUAUUCAGUUCGUUCAGAAGCAGGAAGAGGAAAUUUGGGUCGAAAUGUGGGGGGAAAAUGUGGGACUUCUGUGUCGAAUUUGGGGAAAAAAGUGAGAAUUUAAUUCAAAUUUUGGGGUGAAAUUCCCUUAAAUUUUGCUAAAAAACUCAAAUUU